RNAcentral lists this ribosomal RNA (402 nucleotides) under bacterium enrichment culture clone ALO1_GLFRUDD03HJ95F. Its description in RNAcentral is "bacterial SSU rRNA". It matches the Rfam family "Bacterial small subunit ribosomal RNA", at positions 9 to 412 of the family's 1533-position model. The record is from RNAcentral.
GAGUUUGAUCCUGGCUCAGAUUGAACGCUGGCGGCAUGCCUUACACAUGCAAGUCGAACGGCAGCACGGGAGCUUGCUCCUGGUGGCGAGUGGCGAACGGGUGAGUAAUGCAUCGGAACGUAUCCUGGAGUGGGGGAUAACGUAGCGAAAGUUACGCUAAUACCGCAUAUUCUGUGAGCAGGAAAGCGGGGGACCUUCGGGCCUCGCGCUCUUGGAGCGGCCGAUGUCGGAUUAGCUAGUUGGUGAGGUAAAGGCUCACCAAGGCGACGAUCCGUAGCAGGUCUGAGAGGAUGAUCUGCCACACUGGAACUGAGACACGGUCAGACUCCUACGGGAGGCAGCAGUGGGGAAUUUUGGACAAUGGGGGCAACCCUGAUCCAGCCAUGCCGCGUGAGUGAAGAA